CCCUUAGAUGUUCUGGGCCGCACGCGUGCUACACUGAGUGGAUCAGCGGGUCAGGUUGCGCGAAAGCGUUUCCUAAUCUUUAAAUCCGCUCGUGAUGGGGAUUGACGGUUGCAAUUUUCUGUCAUGAACGAGGAAUACCUUGUAAGCGCGGGUCAUCAUCCCGCGCUGAAUACGUCCCUGCCCUUUGUACACACCGCCCGUCGCUCCUACCGAUUGAGUGGUCCGGUGAAUGAUUCGGACCAGCGUGCUGCUCAGAUCCUGCGCAGUGUGCUGGGAAGUCUAGUGAACCUUAUCACUUAGAGGAAGGAGAAGUCGUAACA
This 320-nucleotide ribosomal RNA is filed under the name uncultured eukaryote. Its description in RNAcentral is "partial 18S ribosomal RNA". It matches the Rfam family "Eukaryotic small subunit ribosomal RNA", at positions 1470 to 1796 of the family's 1831-position model. The record is from RNAcentral.